GCACGCCCCUCCCCCGCCUUCCUGCUCCGACUCGCGCGCGCCUGGCGGCGACCGCCAGCCGUCGGGCAUCCGGGCCGGGAGGGGCGCCUGCCAGGCUCCAGCGCUCGCUCGGCCUUGGGGACGCGGGGCAGCGAGAGCUGGAGGGGAAGCGCGGCGGCCCAGGACGACUGCGAAAGAGAGAAGGAGGCCGCGCUGGUCACAGCCACAAAGCGCCGGCGCGCUCUCUGCCCUCUCUCUUCUCACUGCCUCGUUCCCUCGCUCUCUCUCCCUCCCUCACCUCCCUCUCUCUCACAUUCUCCCUUCUUAUCUCCUUCUCUCUCCCUUAAUCUCUUUCUCUCUCGUUCUCUCUCUCUCCCAUUCUUUUUCACUCCCUCAUUCUCUCAUUUUCUUUCAUUCUUUCUCUCUCUGUCCGCCUCCCCCCUCGCCCGCCAUUCUCUCACACACACAAGUACCCAAGAGCGUCUGGCUCCUGGGUGUCCCGGCUCCUGUCCCCCGCAAGCCUGCGCUGCUCAGAGGCCGUCGCCAGAGAAAUCCUGUCGAUUCCUCUUGGAAGAAAGCGCAGACAGAAUCAGGGAGGAAAAGGAGACAUUUGCUAUAAUUGCACAAUUUAUAGUCAAGCAGGGCCCAAAACCCACUGACCUGGGGAUUCACCCAUUUUCCUCCCCUCCCUUCAUCAAAGGGUAAUUGGAGAUUUAAAUAUGCAAAAAAAGAAAGGGCUUAUUCUGCCUCUCCUUUGCCCUCUGAUCUCCGUUUCUUCAGCUCUCUUCCAAGAGCUUCUCUGGCCAGCCCUAAGUAUCUGAGAUUACCAUCUACUUGAAUCACAGCAGGUACAAAACUAGGGACUCCGGCAGUGUCUGUUUCAGUGUAGCCAAAAGGACAACAGGUGCCAGUUGCUCAGUUUCCUCCUCUACUUGAAACACAUCAAUGGAUGCCUGCUUCCUGCUACAUGACCAAGUCCAAGCUCCCCCGCAAACACUCAAGACUCUGCUCAGCCAGACUGCCGUAUUUGCUAAGUGGCCCUGCUCUCUGUGAUGAAGACUGGGUGGAGUAAUGAACACAGGGCCUUGUUUUGCUCUGCCAUGGCUUCCCCUCUGCCUACCAGACCUUCACCAAUCCCCAAGAGCUCCUCUCCUCUCUGAGAAUCAGCCUUCUCUGGAAAGCCUUUCCUGACCUGCUCACACGAAAUAGAUCUUUUCUGCUCCUCCCAUACCUGGCAUGGCAUUGUCAUAAUUGUACUAUAUCAUAAAUAUGUGCCUCUGUGAGCCCAGAGUUUGUGCUUAACAUAUAUGCAUAUCUUUAUAUCCACUUGCCUAAUGUAAUGUCUGGCAUAUGAGAAGUGUUAUGGACUAAACUGUGUACCAUGUACCCCCAUAAUUCAUAUGUUGAAGCCCUAACCCCAAAUAUGACUAUAUUUGGAGACAGGACCUAUAGGGAGGUGAUUAAGGUUAAAUGAGGUCAUAGUGUGUGACCUAAACUCAUAGGUCUGGUGGCCUUAUAUAAAGAGGAAGAGACACCAAAUACCUCCUUUCUUGUCUCUCCCUCUCUCCUUCCCCACUGUCCCUUUCCCCACUUGCCCUUUCUCUGCCCAAACACAGAGAAGAGGCCACAUGAAGACACAAUGACAACUACAAGCCAGAAAGAGAGGCCUCACCAGAAACCAACCCUGCUGCCUUCUUGAUCUUGGACUUCCAGCCUUCAGAACUAUGGGAAAAUGAAACAUCUUGUUUAAGCCAUUCAGUCAGGGGUAUUGUUAUGGCAGCUCCAUCAGAUGAAUACGAGAAGCAUGCAUUGGAUUCUAGAUUCUAACCUUUGUAAACCCCAACUCAACAGUGAGCCCGACUUCUCCAUACAAAGUAGCCUGGACGAUCAUCUGUGAUACAAGGCCAUGUGCAGAGUGUCUCAAUGUGAGAAGUGACCACGGUCAUUUACCUCCCCCAUGAGAGAAAUGGAAACAAAGGCUCGUUACAUACUCUGGGGUAUAAAUGCCUACAGGCUCAAAGUCACAAUGCUACCUUUUGCACCAGGUACCAUAAUUUUUAAACAAAAACAAGUAAAGAGCAAAUAUUUACUUUGAAUUUAUUAAUUCAAACAAAAGACAGGAGGCCAGUACCAAUAUAUUAAAGCUGCUGUUUUGGGCUGAAUAUUUCAUAUCCCUAGGGAAUCUUAGUGGGAUUCUAAUACAGGUAAGAUCAAGUACCCAACUUGGUUUGGGACGCCUGGAGCCACUGCGGGUGGAUCCCAGGAAAUAAGACCUUGCAGGUUAUGAGCUAUGGUGAUAUUUCCGUUUGUAUCCACACCAUCCACUGCAGUGUCUGCAACAUGGCACACUGUGUGUGAUAGAUGUUUGUUGAAUGAAUAAGCCUGGUACUUCCCAGGUUACACCAGGCAACACCAGACCUUUAGCACGAGUCUGAUAUACUGUAGAUUUUACAUUCUGAAUGCAGACAGGUCUCUGGAAAAAGUCAGGGGAACUAGUGGCCUACAUAGCCUGCUGGGCUGUAUUUAAGAUUUUGUUCGGGGCUGACACAGUGUCUCAGGUGGCUUAGAGGGUCUUUACUGAUUUACUUUCAAUACAAAUACUGAUUCCCUUACAAUACAAAGGGAACACUCCUCUGAAUGGUUUCUGAGUCAUUUGGCCCAUCACUGGUGAUAGAUUCUCUGAUCUCGCAUUACUGGAAAACAUACAUAAUAAUUUCCCGUUUCACAGCAGCAACCUACAGGGUCACCCAUACACUCUGCUAUGACCUCAUCCUUUUGCUUCAACAUCUGAGGACCUCGGAAAUUCAGCCCUAAGGAAAACUGAAGAAAGCAGAAAUGAAUAUUUGGGGAUAUAAAAUGGUACAAAGCAAAUCAACUUGGAAUAAGACGUGUUGCUUUUAUAUCUUCUCCUUUCGUCAUUCUCCUCAUGCAUAAUCUUAAAAUUGUUACUUUACACCCUAACCGCCAGGCUGAAGAGCUCCAGAGAGAUGAGAAAAACUUAAUACCCUAGAGGAGGGAAAUGAGUUUUGAUAUGUACACCCUUUUGUAUCUUAAGUUUUGCACUGUGCACAUGGACAUUCGAAUUGUCAUUCCAUUCAAAAAGAAAUAAAAUAUUGAUUUUAAAAUCCUAUUUUUAAGCCAUGCCCUCUGAUUCUGGGUCAAUUAUUGAUUGCUGUGUAACACGUCACCUCAAAACUUUAGUGGCUUAAAAUAAGAAUACACGAUUUGCUCGCAAUACUGUGGGUUGGCAAUUUGGACAUACUCAGCUGGGAAAUCUUAUUUCUGCCCCAUGUGGUAUUAGCUUGGCUCCGUCACGCGUUUCCAGUCAACUGGGAGGUUGGCCAGGAGCUGGCUUGUCCUGGGUGGCCUCAAAGUCCAAAAGUUGACUGCAGCCGUCAGCUCAGGCAUCUCAGAUCCCUUUCCAUGGCCUCUCAGCGGGCUAGCUGGGACUUCCUCACAGAGCAGCCCUGUCCAGGAGGGCGAAAGAGGAAGUGGUCAGGCCCCUGGAGCUCUGGCCUUGCAGGUAUAGCAGAAUGAUAGAAUUCCGCUGCACUCUGUCAUUAAAAAUGUCACAAAGUCAGCCCAAAUCCAAGGUUUGGGGAAACAGACCCCCAUUGAUGACAGAAGCAGUAGUCAUAUUGCAACAGGGCCUGCGUGCAGUAGUAGGAGAGGAAGGAUUCUUGUGGCCAUCCUUGCAAAUAAUCUUCCUCUGAAGAACUACAGACGUGAAGAACUACAGAAUGGAGGGUAAAGUAACAGGUGCUAACAAUAGUCUCAAGGGAAAUCUUUCUGAUGAUAAGACAAAAGCACUUUGUCAUUCAACAUAAGACCCACAAGAACAGGUACUGGCCUCCUGUCCUCAAUGGACAGGUCAAAGAAAGAGUUAAUUUCUGCUUAUUUGUUUUUGGUUUAAAAAAGAAAAAGAUGGGGGCAAGGAAAAACAAAGGCUUUGGGACUCUAAUGCAAGUAAGGUUGGCUGGGUUCUAAAUCAGUGUUUUCGAUUACCUACUGCUGCAUAACAUCUUACCAUAGACUUCGUGGCUUAUAAUACCCAUAUACUGGUGCAUCUUUCGUUCUUAAUCCAGAAAUGGCAUGGCUCGGGUCUCUACUGAAGGCCUCCCAAAGCCAAAAUGAAGAUCUUGGCAGGGCUCAUCGUUCAUCUCGUCUGGAGCUCAAGGUCCUCUUCUAAGGUCAUUCAGAUUGCUGGCGGAAUUCAGUUCUUUGUGGUUAUAGGACUGAGGACCCGGUUUUUUUGCUGGCUGUCAUCUGGGAGCCACUCUCCACUGACAAAGGCUGCCCAGAAACCUCAUCCUGUGGCCUUCGCCAUCUUCCAGUCGGCAGUGUCUCAACAAAUCCUUCUAUGCUUCCAAUCUCUGACUCAACCGUCUUGGGUUCUAGACUCAGAUUUAAAGUGCUCAUGUGAUUAGAUCAGGCAUACCCAGAUCAUCUUUCUAUCUUGAUAGGCAACUGACUUGAGACCUUCCUCACACCUGCAAUCCCCAGAUUAGUGUAUGAUUGAAUAACGGGAGAUGUGUAUACACCAGGGGCCAGGAAUUGUGGAGGCUAUCUGAGAAUUCUACGAUAGAUGUAAGGAUAGGCAGACAGAGGCUCUUCAAUAUAAACAUGGAAUGUGAGAGUGGACAGAAGGUAGAAGCCUUGGAGAGGAAUCGGAUGCAGCGCUUAGCAGUAAACCAGGAACCAGGCCUAAGAAGGAAUUCUUACUGAGCAAUAACUCAGCUGCCACGGGGUUAAAUGGUUACUAAGUCUUCAUUGAACCCUGAUGACCUGAAUACUGAAAAAAACAGGGAGAGGAAAACAAAGUGAAGAAUAUGGCAUCCUAAUCCUAUCACUUAAACAGCAUAAUCCUGUGAAUACAAUAGUAUUUCCUUUAUUUUGCACGAUUUGUUUCAUAACAUUAACGCAAUGUUCCAUAACCCAGCAAGAUAAUGCUUUUCAAUAAGGAGACUUAAGAACUCAUUUGCGGAAACAUUUUGUGAAAAGCUGUGUGGUCUGCCAAGCAAAUACAGCACAUAAAGAUCUUUCCCAAAGUCAAACAACAAACCAGAGGUUGAGCUGGGAUUUGCUUUCCGCACGGCCCAUGUUGUUCUUUCAUGCGUAUGCUGCCUGCCCUGCUAAGACCCAUGAGCAUCACGUACAUUUGUAUGUUCGCAGAAAUAAACAAUACAGAUACGUCCAGUGCUCC
Long non-coding RNA from Callithrix jacchus (white-tufted-ear marmoset), 5182 nucleotides. RefSeq lists it as uncharacterized. Lineage: Eukaryota; Metazoa; Chordata; Mammalia; Primates; Cebidae. The record is from RefSeq and is a predicted model, not a curated record.